UUUCUUUUUUCAUUUUUGGUUAUUAAACAGGAAGUAGAGAUAGAGUAUGUAGAAGGUUAUGAUGAACUUGAAGAGGAAGAUGACAUGGAGGAUUUUGUUAAUUUUAGAUACAUUUCAAUUCUAUUUUUAUGUAUUAGUCUAUUAUUUUUCUUAUAUGUUGGAGGUGAAAAGUUGUGCAUGUGGCGUUGGAGCUCUGUGGUUGAGUUUAGAAAAAUGAAAUAAACUAGGAAAUGAACGCAUUUGAAAAUCAAAAGCAUAACAGAGUUUGGAAGCUUUGAAGUGAAGAGGCAGAAGCAGCUGCUCAGAGAAGGGUGAAACGGAAGAAUAAGUUAGCUUCAAUGAAAUCUGAGAAGGAUUCUGUUGAUCUUAAAUCAAAGAAGGCAAAGGUCCUUGUUGAGACUGCCUAUACAGAGCCUGUUGAGCAACAGAAGGAAAAAGUAAUUCAUGGAACGAUGAUGAUUUUCAAAAGUUUGAUCAUCUUCAGGAAUCGGAGCCCAUUAGUUCUGCUGAUCAAGUAACUAGUGAGAUUGACCAUAUUCCUACAACUUCUGGUCGAUGUGAGGAGGCAGUUGUUAAUGAAAUUAAUCAAUUUCGGGAUUUAUUGUCAGAGAUUGACUGUAAAAUUGGAAAGCUUACACUUGCUAGACUGUUGACUGCUGUUGACUCCUUACCAUCUCCACGUGCUAAUAAUAUGGUUAAUACUGAAGAAAUUCUUCAACUUUAUGAUGAUUUGAUGAGGUUGGAUCUAACACAUUAUCUUUAUUACAAGGAUGAGCAUAGUCUAGUGCUACUUCAUCAGGGAUACUAUCCGAUUGGAAUACCUUGCCCUUCUCCUUAAACAAUUAACAGAACCGCUACGAUCUCUGCCCAAGGCUGAAGCUGUUGAGAAAGUUGUGGAAUUUAUGAAUACAUAUUCUAUUAGUCAAGAAGACUUCGAUACUAUUGUAGAGUUGUCAAAAUUCAAGGAAGCCAUGGAAUAGACAUAAAGGGGCUAACAAAAUGAGAUUGAGAACGUGCAAUGGAGUGGGGUGGUAGGCAUAAUAUAGCUGGAGUGAAACGAAAGAGAGGUACCACCAACCAUGAUUUUUCUUUUCUUUUUCCAAUUCACUGUUUCCUUCCAAAACACUAAGGACCCAGAAUCUAGUUGGUGCUCUUAGAGGGAUCUUACACUUAAAAUACAGGUUUAAAUUAAUCUUUUUUUUCUUAUUUAUCCUUUUAUUUUUGGAUCAAG
Long non-coding RNA from Arachis duranensis, 1231 nucleotides. RefSeq lists it as uncharacterized. Lineage: Eukaryota; Viridiplantae; Streptophyta; Magnoliopsida; Fabales; Fabaceae. The transcript has 6 exons. The record is from RefSeq and is a predicted model, not a curated record.